This 494-nucleotide ribosomal RNA is filed under the name uncultured bacterium. RNAcentral's name for it is "partial 16S ribosomal RNA". It matches the Rfam family "Bacterial small subunit ribosomal RNA", at positions 28 to 507 of the family's 1533-position model. The record is from RNAcentral.
GACGAACGCUGGCGGCGUGCUUAACACAUGCAAGUCGAACGGUGAAGCGCCUUCCUUUUUGGUGGGUGUGGAUGAGUGGCGAACGGGUGAGUAACACGUGAGUAACCUGCCCCCUUCUUCUGGAUAACCGCAUGAAAGUGUGGCUAAUACGGGAUAUUCUGGGUCUGUCGCAUGAUGGGUCUGGGAAAGAUAUUGUUUCGGUGGGGGAUGGGCUGGCGGCCUAUCAGCUUGUUGGUGGGGUGAUGGCCUACCAAGGCGGUGACGGGUAGCCGGCCUGAGAGGGUGGACGGUCACACUGGGACUGAGACACGGCCCAGACUCCUACGGGAGGCAGCAGUGGGGAGUAUUGCACAAUGGGCGCAAGCCUGAUGCAGCGACGCCGCGUGAGGGAUGGAGGCCUUCGGGUUGUGAACCUCUUUCGCCAGUGAAGCAGGCCUGCCUCGUUUGUGGGUGGGUUGACGGUAGCUGGAUAAGAAGCGCCGGCUAACUACGUG